CUUAUAGUAUGACUAACAAAAUUUACACAAUUCUUCUGUCUGCACAGAGCAUUCUACCCAGGGUGGACUUAAUAUUAAGUCAAUAUUACUAUCCCCAUUUUUCAGAUUAGAAAACUGAGGUGUUGGAGGCGUGACUUCCUCGUGGUCACACAGAGUGCUGGAGCGACCAUCCGUCGUGAUUAUCUGUGCGUGCUCCACUGUCCUAGUUGGUGCCCUGUGCUCACGUCUGUCAACAUCAGGAGCUGUGGAAUCCGAGUGCGGCUGCCAAGAGGAAUCCAGAAAAGCCAAAGAGCCCAAGCAUGUCAGACCUUCCUGUAGCCACACACACACACCCCUCAAACCCCAAGGAAGUGAGUGAGAAUCACCGGCAGGGAGACAGCCAACCAGGUGAGCAACCACAUCAGUCUGAGGGCUAAAGCAACAGGAAAGGGUUUUUGGCAGUUC
This 444-nucleotide long non-coding RNA is filed under the name Bos mutus (wild yak). RNAcentral's name for it is "lncRNA (ENSBMUG00000016654.1)". Lineage: Eukaryota; Metazoa; Chordata; Mammalia; Artiodactyla; Bovidae. The record is from RNAcentral.